AACGGGUAUUCUUAGGUUAAU
RNAcentral lists this microRNA (21 nucleotides) under Octopus vulgaris (common octopus). RNAcentral's name for it is "Ovu-Mir-137-v2_5p (mature (co-guide))". The record is from RNAcentral. Lineage: Eukaryota; Metazoa; Mollusca; Cephalopoda; Octopoda; Octopodidae.